Molecule: long non-coding RNA, 196 nt
Filed under: Anser cygnoides (Swan goose)
Lineage: Eukaryota; Metazoa; Chordata; Aves; Anseriformes; Anatidae
Description: lncRNA (ENSACDG00005007706.1)
Source: RNAcentral
AUUUCAGGUCUUCUGGCUUAGUCAUUGUUCCCAUGUGAACGGUGCACUUAUCAAUGUGACCAGCUACAAAUUCAGUACUGCUGCGUCCAAUGGUCUGUCUUCAGGAGUGAGUAGCGGAGGCGGCAAAAUGAGAAGGGAAAGAGGAAUACACUAUUUAUCAAGAGCUGUACAAGAACAGAUUCUUCAAACUAUAACA